This is a long non-coding RNA of Physella acuta, 683 nucleotides long. RefSeq lists it as uncharacterized. The record is from RefSeq and is a predicted model, not a curated record. NCBI's taxonomy places the organism in Eukaryota, Metazoa, Mollusca, Gastropoda, Physidae.
UCCACGGGGUGUCUCCCCCACCAUCGUCACGCCUCUGACCCUAGCUGGGGUAUAAAUGUCGAGCGAACAAUACAAGGCUAGUUUCCACAGAGAAUCGAAUUUGUUCAGAGGCUUUCCACAGCUUCCUCGGACAGCUGCCAAAAACUGACAAUGUCCAGGUUGCUAGUCUUAGUUCUGCUGUUGUGUUCAGCCACCUUUAUCGCAAGCCAGGGCCCAGGAGGCAUGGACCCCAUGAUGAUGAUGUUUAUGCUGAUGCAGCACCACGACAUGAGCAAAAUCUGGCCACUCAUGCUCAUGAUGCAGAUGGGCGGGGGAGGCGGCAACGCGGGAGGAGCCGACCCAUCAGCGGGCGGGGCAGGAGGGGGCGCCAUGAUCUAAAUCCACAUAUUCACCAUCCAAUCCUGUCUUCAACAACCACUUAAACUCACAUCAGCGUGUUCAUACAAUCCACUCAGCCUCGCACACAUCCAUCCAAAGAUGAGACCACUCUUGUUGACUUGUUCAAACUAUUUGUUCAGAUACACUUUAUACAAGCAAUCCUUUUCUUCCUAUGUAAAUUUUUUUUAAACUGUUGCCCAUCGCUAUCAAAACUGUUCGAUAUGUUUUAUGUGUUACAUGCAAUACGAGAUAUUUUAUUCUAAAUAUUUAUUUAAUAAAAUAUUUUAACCACCUCUGGACUAUGA